GACGAACGCUGGCGGCGUGCUUAACACAUGCAAGUCGAACGGAAAGGCCCUGCUUUUGUGGGGUGCUCGAGUGGCGAACGGGUGAGUAACACGUGAGUAACCUGCCCUUGACUUUGGGAUAACUUCAGGAAACUGGGGCUAAUACCGGAUAGGAGCUCCUGCUGCAUGGUGGGGGUUGGAAAGUUUCGGCGGUUGGGGAUGGACUCGCGGCUUAUCAGCUUGUUGGUGGGGUAGUGGCUUACCAAGGCUUUGACGGGUAGCCGGCCUGAGAGGGUGACCGGCCUCAUUGGGACUGAGAUACGGCCCAGACUCCUACGGGAGGCAGCAGUGGGGAAUAUUGCACAAUGGGCGGAAGCCUGAUGCAGCAACGCCGCGUGCGGGAUGACGGCCUUCGGGUUGUAAACCGCUUUCGCCUGUGACGAAGCGGGAGUGACGGUAAUGGGUAAAGAAGCACCGGCUAACUACGUG
Molecule: ribosomal RNA, 468 nt
Filed under: uncultured bacterium
Lineage: Bacteria
Description: partial 16S ribosomal RNA
Rfam family: Bacterial small subunit ribosomal RNA
Source: RNAcentral